UACGGGGGGGGCAAGCGUUGUUCGGAAUUACUGGGCGUAAAGGGCUCGUAGGCGGCCAACUAAGUCGGAUGUGAAAUCCCCAAGCUUAACUUGGGAACUGCAUCCGAUACUGGAUGGCUUGAAUCCGGGAGAGGGAUGCAGAAUUCCAGGUGUAGCGGUGAAAUGCGUAGAUAUCUGGAGGAAUACCGGUGGCGAAGGCGGCAUCCUGGACCGGCAUUGACGCUGAGGAGCGAAAGCGUGGGUAGCAAACAGG
RNAcentral lists this ribosomal RNA (253 nucleotides) under uncultured bacterium. RNAcentral describes it as "partial 16S ribosomal RNA". It matches the Rfam family "Bacterial small subunit ribosomal RNA", at positions 524 to 776 of the family's 1533-position model. The record is from RNAcentral.